GAUGAACGCUGGCGGCGUGCCUAAUACAUGCAAGUCGAGCGAACAGACGAGGAGCUUGCUCCUUCGACGUUAGCGGCGGACGGGUGAGUAACACGUAGGUAACCUACCUAUAAGACUGGGAUAACUUCGGGAAACCGGAGCUAAUACCGGAUAAUAUUUCGAACCGCAUGGUUCGAUAGUGAAAGAUGGCUUUGCUAUCACUUAUAGAUGGACCUGCGCCGUAUUAGCUAGUUGGUAAGGUAACGGCUUACCAAGGCAACGAUACGUAGCCGACCUGAGAGGGUGAUCGGCCACACUGGAACUGAGACACCGUCCAGACUCCUACGGGAGGCAGCAGUAGGGAAUCUUCCGCAAUGGGCGAAAGCCUGACGGAGCAACGCCGCGUGAGUGAUGAAGGUCUUCGGAUCGUAAAACUCUGUUAUUAGGGAAGAACAAACGUGUAAGUAACUGUGCACGUCUUGACGGUACCUAAUCAGAAAGCCACGGCUAACUACGUG
This 497-nucleotide ribosomal RNA is filed under the name uncultured bacterium. RNAcentral's name for it is "partial 16S ribosomal RNA". It matches the Rfam family "Bacterial small subunit ribosomal RNA", at positions 28 to 507 of the family's 1533-position model. The record is from RNAcentral.